Non-coding RNA from Pogona vitticeps (central bearded dragon), 617 nucleotides. The record is from RefSeq and is a predicted model, not a curated record. Lineage: Eukaryota; Metazoa; Chordata; Lepidosauria; Squamata; Agamidae.
AGCCAUUUUGUCUGCUCCUCUUCCUGUUCCUCAUAGGAAAGCAGGGGUGCCAGAGCAGAGACAUGUCAGAUCCCAACACCUGAACAUCCGGACUCUGAACGCGUGCAGAGGGCUCUCUCUUUUCUUCCAGUCUUUUCUUCCCAAAUCCACAUGCUGUUGGUUUUGAGAACAUAUUAUUCCCCCUGCCCGCCCAUCCCUGGUUAAGGGGCUCCUAAUCAUUGAUGAUUGGAGUCAGACAUUCAUUGAUAAGGUGGCUGGAAAUGAGUGGUUGAUUUUCUAACACAGAACAACAAAUGGUUUGUCGACUCCAUUGCUCUAGGCUGGGUGUCUUUUGUGUUGUUGCAGGGACAGGAGCAAACGGAUCCGUCUCCGGGCCAAAUCCCUGGCGGGCAGAGAGGACAGGCCGUCGCUUGCAUCUCCACCCUGUGACCUUCGCUGAAGAAUCUGUGGGGAGGUGGCUGUGCAUUUCAACCAGGGGAGCAAGGGUGUGCUGGACUGAGGCCAGACAGCUCCGCAGAAAGACGUCAUGCUGGAGGCUGAAGGGAACGAGGCCUCUCCAGAAGAAGAAGAUACAAACCAGUGAACUCCAGCAGGAUCGUACAGGAUGCAGCUUAUCU